CAACGGAAUCAACAAUUCUUUUAGUUUUUGCUUGUCGAACUCGCGACCGAGAAGCCGUGGAGGACUCAGUGAGGUGGUCUGGUAGCCAUACAGCCUCGGCGAUCCACUAUGCAAAUUGUGCAAGGGGCAUCUACUUGCUAUGGGCAAGGAAGUUGCGUACCGAUGCGUAUUUGAUCAGCUGGCAGCGUUGCCACUCCGUUGCAACAUCAUCCAAGGCGUCAUUUGCUUCAUACGCAGCCUGACUGAGCUCAGGCAGCAAGUGUUUCACUGCGUUCCUGCUUUGCUCGUUCUCCUGUGCCUCGCUCAGGACGGCCUGAAUCAUGGAGACGGAGUUCUGCAGCCUUCCCAGCUCGACAUGGAGGCCGUACACCGUCUGCAACUCCUGGCGCAUGUGAGCCAAAUUGGAAGCCAGGAGUGGCACAACAGCAGUAAGAAACUCCAUCGAAGGCAAAAGGUGAUAAAUUGAAGGUGGAGAGAAGGAGGUUGAUUCCCUGGGAUUGGAAAGGAGAAUCAGAAGCAAGUAAGCAUGGACAUGGACACGGACAUGGCUGGUCAGAAAUUCAGUGCUACUGAACUUGAUAUAAUCUUCAAGAGGAGAGAAGUCAAACAAAUCAUUGUUUAUCCCUUAUUUUUUGAGUUAGGCUAAUGUAGCUUUGAUGAAAUCACACUUACAUCUUAUCACAUACGUAACAAUUUAGGACAUUAGAAAUGCAACUUGAUUGAUUUAUCUGCUUA
Molecule: long non-coding RNA, 735 nt
Organism: Zingiber officinale
Lineage: Eukaryota; Viridiplantae; Streptophyta; Magnoliopsida; Zingiberales; Zingiberaceae
Exons: 2
Source: RefSeq, a predicted model, not a curated record